This is a long non-coding RNA of Brassica rapa (field mustard), 1600 nucleotides long. RefSeq lists it as uncharacterized. The record is from RefSeq and is a predicted model, not a curated record. Lineage: Eukaryota; Viridiplantae; Streptophyta; Magnoliopsida; Brassicales; Brassicaceae.
AGAGUUUACAUAUAUAUCAUAAAGUGAUGAACAAAGAGACUGAAACUAAAACCGACACUACAAGAAAACACGCCGAAUUCCGACGGAGGUUCCGACGGACUACAAUGUCGUCGGACGUUUGUGACGGAUUUCCGACCAAUUUCCGACGAAAACAAAAAAAUUGAAGUCGUCGGAAUUCCGUCGGCCAUUUCCGACGAAUUUCCGAGGAAAAAUGGCUCGUCGGAAUAUUCCGACAACUUUUCGACGACAUUCUGAUAAAACAUAUAACCGUUGUAGUCGUCGAAAAUUCGUCGGAAUAUACCGACGAACUUCCGACGACAUUCCGAUUAACAGAUAUAACUGUUACCGCCGUCGGUAUUCCGUCGGAAUUUUCUGACGAAUUUCCGAUGAACCAUGUUUCCGUCGGAAAUCCCUCGCAAAAUACCGACGACAUAGUGACGACAAAGGGUUCCAUUGAAGUUUGGAAAUGUCCUCCGUAAUUCGUCAGAAUUUACCGACGACAUUCCGACGAACUUGUCUAGUUCGUCGGAAUGUCGUCGGUAUAUUCCGACGAAUUACCGAGGACAUGUGUUUCUAAAAAAUUUCAAACAUAAAAAUCUAUAAAUUUAGAUGCCAAAACUAUGAAUAUAACACAUAAUAAGUGUUUAGUAUAGUAUUAGAUCACAACCGUUCAAAUAUAACAACUCAUUAAAAUAUUUAUGUAUGCAUAUCAUUGUUUUCAUAACAUCUCAUCUUAACACUCAUAUACUUAUACAAUCAUAUUCAUCUAAUCUUACACUACAAAAAAUGUUGUUGUGUAAAAUCGUGUUAUAAGAACAUUUUUAAUGUUAAAUCUUUAUGCAAAUACUAUAUAUAUUACCAAAGAUUUAGAUUUUGCAUUUAGAAACUUGUAAUCAACCCCUAAACACUAAGUCGUCGGAAUUCGGUCAGAAAAAGUUGUCAGUAUUCCGUCGGAAUAUACUGACGGACACCAAUUCCGUCGGAAUUUCAAUUUACCCGGGAAAACCAAACCACGUGAAAAUUUUCGCGAACCGCCAAUUGGUAUAUAUUUAAUUAUCCCGACGGUAUACUGACGAAUCUGUGUCCGUCGGAAACGUUAAAUAUAAUUACCCUUCUUCUUCCUUCUUCGUUAUUUCCGCCUCCGCCUCUCUCUCAAUCCUCUGCGCGAUUUCUCUCCCUUUCACGGCGAUUCCGACCAUUCUCGAGCUCCUAUCACCGGCGAAUCCUCUUCUCACCCUCAUAUCUCUUCCCCAAACCCCAAAUCAUUUCCGAGGAUGUACCCCGCCCCGCAGCCCGUCUUCGACGUAGUUUGGUGAGCAGUUCCCGUGCAUCGGGAUCGUCUCACGAACAAAACUCGGUUCCCGCAUAUAUUCCCGCUCCAGAAGAAGUUCAACGCCGAGAUAAUGCAGAAGCUAGAUCGUUUGAUGUCUUCGAGUUCUUAGUUUUUUCUGCUUUUUAAAACUUUCUGAAUGUUUUUUUUCUAUUUCGGUUUGUAUGAAUUUUUAACUUUCUGAAUGUUUUUUUUUCUAUUUCGGUUUGUAUGAAUUUAAAUUCUAUAAUAUUAUUAGUUUUAAAUUUCAGAUUUUAUUUAUUUAUUAAU